GCGUGCUUAACACAUGCAAGUCGAACGGAAAGUGCUCUUCGGAGUGACUCGAGUGGCGAACGGGUGAGUAACACGUGGGUGAUCUGCCCUGCACUUUGGGAUAAGCCUGGGAAACUGGGUCUAAUACCGGAUAGGACCACGGCCUUCAUGGGUUGUGGUGGAAAGCUUUUGCGGUGUGGGAUGGGCCCGCGGCCUAUCAGCUUGUUGGUGGGGUAAUGGCCUACCAAGGCGACGACGGGUAGCCGGCCUGAGAGGGUGUCCGGCCACACUGGGACUGAGAUACGGCCCAGACUCCUACGGGAGGCAGCAGUGGGGAAUAUUGCACAAUGGGCGCAAGCCUGAUGCAGCGACGCCGCGUGAGGGAUGACGGCCUUCGGGUUGUAAACCUCUUUCAACUACGACGAAGCGCAAGUGACGGUAGUAGUAGAAGAAGCACCGGCCAACUACGUGCCAGCAGCCGCGGUAAUACGUAGGGUGCGAGCGUUGUCCGGAAUUACUGGCGUAAAGAGCUCGUAGGUGGUUUGUCGCGUUGUUCGUGAAAACUCACAGCUUAACUGUGGGCGUGCGGGCGAUACG
RNAcentral lists this ribosomal RNA (576 nucleotides) under Mycobacterium sp. Mc2. RNAcentral describes it as "bacterial SSU rRNA". It matches the Rfam family "Bacterial small subunit ribosomal RNA", at positions 42 to 634 of the family's 1533-position model. The record is from RNAcentral. Lineage: Bacteria; Bacillati; Actinomycetota; Actinomycetes; Mycobacteriales; Mycobacteriaceae.